Molecule: ribosomal RNA, 314 nt
Filed under: uncultured bacterium
Lineage: Bacteria
Description: partial 16S ribosomal RNA
Rfam family: Bacterial small subunit ribosomal RNA
Source: RNAcentral
UUAUAAGAGACAGCAGCAGCCGCGGGAAUACGGAGGAUCCAAGCGUUAUCCGGAAUCAUUGGGUUUAAAGGGUCCGUAGGCGGUCUUGUAAGUCAGUGGUGAAAGCCCAUCGCUCAACGGUGGAACGGCCAUUGAUACUGCAGGACUUGAAUUAUUGGGAAGUAACUAGAAUAUGUAGUGUAGCGGUGAAAUGCUUAGAGAUUACAUGGAAUACCAAUUGCGAAGGCAGGUUACUACCAAUUGAUUGACGCUGAUGGACGAAAGCGUGGGUAGCGAACAGGAUUAGAUACCCCCGUAGUCCCUGUCUCUUAUAA